This 451-nucleotide ribosomal RNA is filed under the name uncultured bacterium. Its description in RNAcentral is "partial 16S ribosomal RNA". It matches the Rfam family "Bacterial small subunit ribosomal RNA", at positions 29 to 523 of the family's 1533-position model. The record is from RNAcentral.
AACGAACGCUGGCGGCAGGCCUAAAACAUGCAAGUCGAACGGGUGUAGCAAUACAUCAGUGGCGCACGGGUGAGUAACGCGUGGGAACAUGCCCCUUAGUACGGGACAACGUCGGGAAACUGACGCUAAUACCGUAUAAUAUCUCCGGAUCAAAGAUUUAUCGCUGAGGGAGUGGCCCGCGUCUGAUUAGCUAGUUGGUGAGGUAAUGGCUCACCAAGGCUACGAUCAGUAGCAGGUCUGAGAGGAUGAUCUGCCACACUGGGACUGAGACACGGCCCAGACUCCUACGGGAGGCAGCAGUUAGGAAUAUUGGACAAUGGGCGAAAGCCUGAUCCAGCCAUGCCGCGUGUGUGAUGAAGGCCUUAGGGUUGUAAAGCACUUUCGUUGGGGAUGAUAAUGACCGUACCCAAAGAAGAAGCACCGGCUAACUUCGUGCCAGCCGCCGCGGUAA